AUUCAGUCCAGUAUAUAUAUAUAUAUCAUUGAUACGAUAUUUCAAGUGCUCCAUAUCCAACCGGUGAAAAAGAAUCCGGAAACUGUGAUAAAAGCAGAAUAAGAGAAACACCCUUACAAUGACAACAAAUAAGCAUUUGAGGAAAAAAAUGAAUAAAAAAAGUAAAUUCAACAAUAUAUUUUUUUUCUUCUUUGAACAAACAAAACCGGAUUCUACUUCGCCGGAGAGCACAAACACUUUUGUAUCUUUACUCAUUCCAACUCCUCUUGGUCCCCUGCAGGACAUUGGAUCAGCUCUAAAAUAUUGACCACUUCCUCCAUGUCUGGCCUAUUUGAUGGCACUUGAGAUGCACAUAUUAAACCAAGUUUUAUUACUGGAAUUGCCUCAUCUGCUGGAAAUUUUCCUCCAAGCCUUCCAUCAACACAAUCCUCCAUCCUGCCAUCCUCUAGAGCUCCCCUCACCAUGUCACAUAGCACCACCACAUCAUCCUCCAUGUAUUCCACUGGUCUCUUACCUGUCACCACCUCCAAAACUAAGAUACCAAACCCAUAAACAUCACAUUUCUCAGUUAUCUUCACAGUUCGACAAGCAAAUUCAGGAGCCAUGUAGCCUAAUGCACUUUGGAUUUUGCUGCUUAGGAUACAACGGUCUAAUGUUGGCAACAGCCUUGCCAGGCCAAAGUCUCCAACCUUUGGCUCACCAGUAUCAUCUAUCAGAAUGUUGGUUGAUUUAAGAUUGUAGUGAGUUAUGUUCAUAUGAUGCAAAUGGGCCAAACCUUUUGCCAUCCCCAGAAUUAUGUUGAACCUCUGCCGCCAGGACAGGCAGUUUGAGCUGGGUCCAUCAUGAAGAUGCUUAUACAAACUCCCACUGGAUAUGUAUUCAUAAAUAAGGAGCUGCAAGGAUGAAGUCCAGUAAUAACCUUCCAGUGCCACAAGAUUAUGGUGCUUGAUCUUCCCAAGUCUCUUCACUUCCCUCUCAAAUUCAUCUUGGGACUUGAUCAAACUUGAAACUGUUAGCUUCUUUAUGGCAACUGAACGCCCAUCUCGAAGUAUCGUUCGAUAAACAACCCCAAACCCACCCCGACCAAGUUCACAGUCUUUGUUGAGUAAUGCAUGGGCACCAGCAACAAAAUCGGCAUCGCCCGAAAACAUUACAAGUUUGCCAUAGUUUGGAUCAGUAGUUGGGGAACAACUGAAAUCUUCCCCACCGGAUAAAGCAAGUGAAACAGGUGUUGGUGUCAUGGAAGAUCGUACAUGGAUGUUGAGGAGAGACACAGCUACCACACCAAGGGCAAUAAAAGCGGCUGCACCAAUAGCAAUGAGAGAAGAGAUGCUGAGUGCGAUUUUCCGAUGAUUGUGAUUUAAAGAAGAGCCAUUGGAGGAGGCAGAAGAGUUGGGGUUCAGAACAAUGGGCUUUGGAUGGACAGAAGGACAGGAACGAUUAACAACAGAACCACAUAGAGAUGGAUUACCAGAGACAGCUGAAGGGGAAAUGGUGUUGAAGAAACCCCCAACUGGCAGCUCACCUUGCAGGUUGUUAUGGGAAACAUUGAAGGAUACAAGGUAGGAAAGAUUUGUCAGCUCCUUUGGCAAGCUUCCAGAGAGGUGGUUGAAAGAUAAGUCCACAUAUUGGAGGUUGCUUAUGUUUGCAAUGGCUGCAGGGACCGGACCGGUGAGGUUGUUCUGCGAUAGAAUUAAAGAUUUUAGAGAUGAGCAGUUCUUUAUUUGAGUUGGAAUAUUCCCAGUUAUGCAGUUCUUUUCCAAUAUCAGUUCCACAAGUGAAACCGCUCCUCCAAUUUCAGAAGGAAUUCUUCCCUUUAGCUUAUUAUGACUCAAAUCAAGAACUUGGAUCAUCUUCAAUUCUCUUAUGCUUGAUGGGAUAGAACCAAAGAGUCGGUUUCUGGAUAUAUUCAAGACCAGCAAACUGCUAACUACCCCAACAUCGGAUGGAAUUUCACCAGAUAAGACAUUUGAAGAUAAGUCCAAGACCUUAAGACCUUGAAGAGAGCUCGCCAAAGAGGCCACUGAAGGAUAUUGCACACCCUUACUGUGUCCAUUCCCAGAAAGUGAUACACUUUUAAGGCCCAUCUUCAAAAUCCACGGAGGAAGAAUUCCUGUCAAUCGAUUCUGGCUAACAUCGAUAACCAAAAGGUUAAGACAAUUUGUCACCGGCUGUGGCAACCCUCCUGUAAGAUGGUUCCUGGACAGAUUUAAUUCCUUCAAUAUAUUAAGAUUUCCUAUUGAAGUUGGAAUCCGACCCAUAAAUUCAUUGGCAGAAAGAUCCAAAAUAUCGAGAUUUGUUAAUUCGCCAAUCCAACCAGGAACUUCUCCUGCAAAUGAAUUUCCUCGCAAUCUAAGAGAAGUGCACGACCUAAGCCUCCGCAAUGACUCUGGAAGGAGGUCAGACAGAGAAUUCUCACUAAAAUCCAGCACUUUCAAAAGCAAACAACCUCCAAUAUCCACUGGAAGCUUCCCAGAGAAUCUGUUCUUCUGCAAAUUAAUGGUUGUCAAAUAAGCCAAAUUUGAGAUCCCUUCGGGAAUCUCUCCCUCAAGCAAAUUAUCAGAUAAAUCAAGGGAUUGAAGCCCCCUCAAAAACCAUAAUCCAGAUGGUAACUCCCCAGAAAGCUGGUUAGAUGAGAAAUUAACUGCUGCCAAUGACGUGCACCAGCUCAAAGAUUCAGGAAUCUGCCCGGUGAGGUUAUUCUUAGCAAAUGAAACCGAUCUCAAGGAUUCACAUUGCUUAAAAAAUCCAUCAGGGAUCAACCCAGAGAGAUUGUUCUGACUCAAGUCGACAACUUGUAAAACCCCAAGCUGAGCAAGAUCAGGGUUUAUGGUGCCAGUGAAGUUGUUGUUUGAUAGUGACAGAAUCUGAAGAAACUGCAGGCGUAGAAGGCCGCGGCCAAUGUGCCCAGAAAGAGAGAAGCCAUCGAGAACCAGUUCGGUAACCCGCUGGGUUUUAGGGUCGCACUUGACACCGACCCAGUUGCAGGGAUUCUCAUCAUCUUCAUUCCAUGACGCGAGUUUAAACUCUGGGUCUUGAAGACCGGCCUUGAAGACUAUCAACCCAAGAACAUCAUCGUUGAAUGUUGGGUCCAAAGACUGUACAAAAACAGGAACUGAAAGAAGAAAAAAGCAGAUGUCGAAUAGCAUUUUGAAUUUCAAUUUCAAAAUUUUCCAAUCAAAAAUGCAAGGCCUCCAUGAAAGAAUUCAAAUAAGCAGAUAUAGCACUUGGAGGAAAAAUACCAUAGCCAUGGCAUAAAAAAGCAAAGCUGCUUGGACAACCCAUGAUGGCAACAAACGCUUGUUGUAUCAAAAGAAUCGCAACCAAGAAAAAGGAACCUUCACACGCAAACUGAUACAGAGGUUACAACUAAAAGAGGUAGAGAAGAGAACUGUAUUUUUAUUUUUGUACUUUUUAAUUUCCGGGAUAAAUGAGAGGGAGAGAGCAGAAAGUUUGUGUCCGUACAAACAAGUGCCAAAAGCUGAAGAUCGUGGAGCGCCGAAGCUGCUGCAGUAGCAGACCGGCAAGAAGAUGACACGAAACAGAGAUUUUUAGAAAAGGAUUGAAAAAAGAGUUACAAAUGAUUGAAGAUCAAAAUUCUAGCAGGCCCAACAACCCCGAGAGAGAUAUAUUCGAAAAGACUAUGAGUUCACUGUUGUGGAACAAAGGAAGAAAACAAACAAAAUCCACAGGAAACCCACUUCCCUCUUUCAACUGUUUGUUUCAGUUUCUUUUUCUUCUCCUUCGCAUUUGAAAAAUAAAAUCCUCAAACGUCAAAAAAAAAAAAAAAGGUGGAAAUACUCACUGAUACUACAGAACUCCUUGAUCUCCAACAGAAACUCACAUUAAUGUGAAAGAAGAGAAUACCUACAACACCCACCAAUUAGUUUCCCUUUCCCUUUACUUUCUCAAAUAAAAAACUGCAAACAUGUUGAAUCCAAAGAUCGUGGGAAGGAAUCAGGGCGGGGGAAUCGCCAGAAAAGAAGCGAGAGAGAAUUUAGAUACUGGAAACCCUAGGAAGCAUUAAUGAUGGAAUCAGAGAGAGGAAUAAGAAGAAGGAUAAUAGUGCAGAUGUGGCUAUGGGAGAGGGUAAUGGGUAGUAGCAGAAGCAGCAGUGGCAGCAGUAGGCGAGAGGGAAGAACUAAAGAGUAAAGUGGCAGAGCAAGCAUUUAAAAC
Molecule: unclassified non-coding RNA, 4176 nt
Filed under: Hevea brasiliensis (rubber tree)
Lineage: Eukaryota; Viridiplantae; Streptophyta; Magnoliopsida; Malpighiales; Euphorbiaceae
Source: RNAcentral